Molecule: ribosomal RNA, 477 nt
Filed under: uncultured organism
Description: partial 16S ribosomal RNA
Rfam family: Bacterial small subunit ribosomal RNA
Source: RNAcentral
UACACUCCUGCGGGAGGCAGCAGUAGGGAAUCUUCCACAAUGGGUGCAAACCUGAUGGAGCAAUGCCGCGUGAGUGAAGAAGGUCUUCGGAUCGUAAAGCUCUGUUGUUAGAGAAGAACACGUGCUAGGUAACUACUAGCGCCUUGACGGUAUCUAACCAGAAAGUCACGGCUAACUACGUGCCAGCAGCCGCGGUAAUACGUAGGUGACAAGCGUUGUCCGGAUUUAUUGGGCGUAAAGGGAGCGCAGGCGGUCUGUUUAGUCUAAUGUGAAAGCCCACGGCUUAACCGUGGAACGGCAUUGGAAACUGACAGACUUGAAUGUAGAAGAGGAAAAUGGAAUUCCAAGUGUAGCGGUGGAAUGCGUAGAUAUUUGGAGGAACACCAGUGGCGAAGGCGAUUUUCUGGUCUAACAUUGACGCUGAGGCUCGAAAGCGUGGGGAGCGAACAGGAUUAGAAACCCUGGUAGUCCCAUGAU